Molecule: ribosomal RNA, 253 nt
Filed under: uncultured bacterium
Lineage: Bacteria
Description: partial 16S ribosomal RNA
Rfam family: Bacterial small subunit ribosomal RNA
Source: RNAcentral
UACAGAGGGUGCGAGCGUUGCUCGGAAUCACUGGGCGUAAAGCGCACGUAGGCGGACUCUUAAGUCGGUGGUGAAAUCCUGGAGCUCAACUCCAGAACUGCCUUCGAUACUGGGAGUCUCGAGUCCGGGAGAGGUGAGUGGAACUGCGAGUGUAGAGGUGAAAUUCGUAGAUAUUCGCAAGAACACCAGUGGCGAAGGCGGCUCACUGGCCCGGUACUGACGCUGAGGUGCGAAAGCGUGGGGAGCAAACAGG